This 253-nucleotide ribosomal RNA is filed under the name uncultured bacterium. RNAcentral's name for it is "partial 16S ribosomal RNA". It matches the Rfam family "Bacterial small subunit ribosomal RNA", at positions 524 to 776 of the family's 1533-position model. The record is from RNAcentral.
UACGUAGGGUGCAAGCGUUGUCCGGAAUUAUUGGGCGUAAAGAGCUCGUAGGCGGUCUGUCGCGUCGGCUGUGAAAUCUCGGGGCUCAACCCCGAGCCUGCAGUCGAUACGGGCAGACUAGAGUGCUGUAGGGGAGACUGGAAUUCCUGGUGUAGCGGUGAAAUGCGCAGAUAUCAGGAGGAACACCGGUGGCGAAGGCGGGUCUCUGGGCAAUAACUGACGCUGAGGAGCGAAAGCGUGGGGAGCGAACAGG